ACGAACGCUGGCGGCGUGCUUAACACCUGCAAGUCGAACGGAAAGGCCCAGCUUGCUGGGUGCUCGAGUGGCGAACGGGUGAGUAACACGUGGGUGAUCUGCCCCUAACUUCGGGAUAAGCUUGGGAAACUGGGUCUAAUACCGGAUAGGACAAUCGUUUAGUGUCGGUUGUGGAAAGUUUUUUCGGUUAGGGAUGAGCCCGCGGCCUAUCAGCUUGUUGGUGGGGUAAUGGCCUACCAAGGCGUCGACGGGUAGCCGGCCUGAGAGGGUGGACGGCCACAUUGGGACUGAGAUACGGCCCAGACUCCUACGGGAGGCAGCAGUGGGGAAUAUUGCACAAUGGGCGCAAGCCUGAUGCAGCGACGCCGCGUGGGGGAUGACGGCCUUCGGGUUGUAAACCUCUUUCGACAGGGACGAAGCUUUGGUGACGGUACCUGUAGAAGAAGCACCGGCUAACUACGUG
Molecule: ribosomal RNA, 463 nt
Filed under: uncultured bacterium
Lineage: Bacteria
Description: partial 16S ribosomal RNA
Rfam family: Bacterial small subunit ribosomal RNA
Source: RNAcentral